CAUCCAGAGAACUUGGCAGAGAUGCCUUGGUGCCUUCGGGACCUCUGAGACAGGUGCUGCAUGGCUGUCGUCAGCUCGUGUUGUGAAAUGUUGGGUUAAGUCCCGNAACGAGCGCAACCCCUAUCCUUUGUUGCCAGCGAUUCGGUCGGGAACUCAAAGGAGACUGCCGGUGAUAAACCGGAGGAAGGUGGGGAUGACGUCAAGUCAUCAUGGCCCUUACGAGUAGGGCUACACACGUGCUACAAUGGCGCAUACAAAGAGAAGCGACCUCGCGAGAGCAAGCGGACCUCAUAAAGUGCGUCGUAGUCCGGAUCGGAGUCUGCAACUCGACUCCGUGAAGUCGGAAUCGCUAGUAAUCGUAGAUCAGAAUGCUACGGUGAAUACGUUCCCGGGCCUUGUACACACCGCCCGUCACACCAUGGGAGUGGGUUGCAAAAGAAGUAGAUAGCUUAACCUUCGGGAGGGCGUUUACCACUUUGUGAUUCAUGACUGGGGUGAAGUCGUAACAAGGUAGGCGUAGCGAG
This 524-nucleotide ribosomal RNA is filed under the name uncultured bacterium. Its description in RNAcentral is "bacterial SSU rRNA". It matches the Rfam family "Bacterial small subunit ribosomal RNA", at positions 985 to 1509 of the family's 1533-position model. The record is from RNAcentral.